This 253-nucleotide ribosomal RNA is filed under the name uncultured bacterium. RNAcentral describes it as "partial 16S ribosomal RNA". It matches the Rfam family "Bacterial small subunit ribosomal RNA", at positions 524 to 776 of the family's 1533-position model. The record is from RNAcentral.
UACGUAGGGGGCGAGCGUUGUCCGGAGUUACUGGGCGUAAAGCGCACGUAGGCGGCUUUGCAAGUUAGAGGUGAAAGCCCGGGGCUCAACUCCGGAAUUGCCUUUAAAACUGCAUCGCUAGAAUUGUGGAGAGGUAAGUGGAAUUCCGAGUGUAGAGGUGAAAUUCGUAGAUAUUCGGAAGAACACCAGUGGCGAAGGCGACUUACUGGACACAUAUUGACGCUGAGGUGCGAAAGCGUGGGGAGCAAACAGG